GCCAGGCAUGGUAGUGUGUGCCUGUAAUCCCAGCAACUCUGGAGGUUGAGACAGGAAGAUCGCAAGUUCAAGGCCAGUUUCAUCAACUUAGUGAGACCCUGUCUAAA
This 107-nucleotide small RNA is filed under the name Marmota monax (woodchuck). Lineage: Eukaryota; Metazoa; Chordata; Mammalia; Rodentia; Sciuridae. The record is from RNAcentral.